Molecule: RNA transcript, 3003 nt
Organism: Corticium candelabrum
Lineage: Eukaryota; Metazoa; Porifera; Homoscleromorpha; Homosclerophorida; Plakinidae
Gene name: collagen alpha-2(VI) chain-like
Exons: 6
Source: RefSeq, a predicted model, not a curated record
AACUGUUUGUUUGCUGUACCUGCAGCUGCUCAUCGCACCGCCGUCUUUCUCGCCCUUUGGUGUUGUUACUGCAGAAGCAGCGUGUUAGCUAGUGUUUCUUGUGUGCACUCUACUGUGAAAGGACGAUGCAGAUUACCAAUUACGUUCAUUUUCUUAACCUUCUAUUGUCAGCUCGGGCGUUGGAAAUACGAUGUGGAGCCAACCACAUUUUGGAAAUGGAACCUCUGUAUUUGUACCAGAUCAAGGACAGAGAAGUCAUUGUAACUGGUAAGAACGUCACGCAAUGGGAAAUCCGAAUAGCGAAUGCCAAGGGUACAGCAAGAGAAGUUCGAAAGCAUUUGACUUUGGUGAAUGGAAAAGAUCUCCGCAUAAAUGGUACUUCUAGCAAAAUUGAGGGACUUAGGCUGAGAUACGUUGACAAAGCAGGAAAUGCAAGUGCAUGGGCAACUCUUAUGACAGCAAGUCUGCCUGAGGUGCUUGUGGCUAAAAAAAGACGAAUGGAAAUAGAAGAGGGUGGUAAAGUUCCAAAAGUCUGUUACAGUCUAACACCAGGGAUACCAGAGAUGAAUACUCUGAAGGUUUACAAAGGUGAAGAAGAGAUGGAAGAAGGAGUAGAUUACAAUGUGAAGUCUAACUGUAUCAGACUUUUGCACUCUUUACCUCAAGAUUCUGGGACAUAUGCCAUAGUUGCAAGUAACUGCAUUGGAUCAUCAAACUUUUCAUUUCAUCUUAGAGUGACCAGAUCACAUGCUGUUUCUGAGCAGUCACCUCUCCAGAAGGGUGAGAAAGGUGAAGUUGGCCUCCCAGGCCCAACUGGCAUAACAGGACAGAAUGGUAAUGAUGGAUUACUAGGAGAAGAUGGACUGCCAGGGGUAAAGGGUGAUAAAGGGGAAUCAGGGUCACCUGGUUUAGUUGGAAUAAGAGGUCCACCUGGUGAGACAGGCUCCAGAGGUUUACAAGGGAUGGUUAGUGCACCUGGUUUCAAAGGAGAAAAAGGUAAAAGAUAAUGAGAUGCUACAGGGUUGUCGGUUGAAUUGGACAAAGGGUCCUAAAUUGUGGCUCCAAGGGGACUUUGGGCCACAGCUGUUGAUGUUAAUAUUAUUUCUAAAUCUCUGAUAUUAAAAAUAUUGAGUUAGUAAAUUGCUUAAUUUUGUAGUAAAGGACCUGCUAUAGAAUACAGAAUAGCCAAAAAUGUCUAUUCUACUAUGCUAGCUGCUACAAACUGGAUAUAUGAUCUUGAGCCUGGUUCAUGAUAUGUUUCAUUCAGCUCAUUUAGCUAAGUGGCAACAAGUGGCACGGUGCUCAUCAGAAAGAAACAGAAACGGAAACAUUGUGAACAGAUGCCACGCAGCAAACGUGGUAAGCCACAGACUAUGAGUGUCGUGCUGGCUGCUAAGGAUAUGCUUAUGUUCUGUCUCUGUGGAAACUGCACGCUGCCGCUGAACUUGGCCCAAUCUUAAUAUACCAUGAAAUAAUUUGUGUAAGUUUAUUUGGGAUAUUCUUUGCUUUGCACGUUCACACCGUACUAUUUGAGCCUAUAUACUAAGUAUACUACACUAUAUACUUUGCCUUUGCAGAAGUAAUAGCAAAGCCCGGUUCAGAAGCAAGAGCAUCAGUAUACUGCGACCUGGCAACACGUUCACAUGGCAGACGUUAGCAGCCAGCAGUUUUCUGCGCCUUGCUGCUGAUGUGAACAGCACAUACAGAGGGGAAUACAAGGCAAGAAUUUUGGUUGGACAUCAUGCUCUAGCAAAGGGUUGACCCGACAUUUUUAAUUUUAGGUACUCAUUGUUAUUUGAUUUCUGUAUUUAUUCGCUAUCAAAAUCAAAACAUAAAAUUUGGCUUGUUUGCUGUUGUUUUGUUGCAUUGUUGACAACGGAGUGGUGGUUAUAUUUCAUUGUGACUAAAAUUUCAUUAACUUUUAGUUAAGCAAGAUGUGUAAAGUAACAUGAACUGAUCAAGAGAUGAGCAAACUAAUCAAGAGCAUGUUGUUGUUCAACAAAAAAUUUAGUUACUGACAGGUGGCCCUCCCAUUGUUUAUCCUAUAAUCUACUAUAAAUAUGAUACCAUUAUUGCUCUAAAAUGUCAUUUUGCACUGGCACAGCUCUUGUAGAUCUUGCUUGCUUCUGUCAGUUGUGUGGACUUUUGUGUCACUCAUUGAUUCACUAUCAUCCAUGCAAAAACUAUUAUACCUUGACCAAUCAUGUAGGUAUAUGUCCAAUCAAAGUAGAAUUGUGUUCGGUCAUGAACACAAGUUGGUCGGUCAAUGACCAAUGACCAACCGUUAUAUUCCACUCUGACAUAUUGUAAACCAGGCUUUCAUUCCUCAAAAAUUGUUUCUACUGCUUUCUUAUCAGAGGUAAUUGACAGUAGGGGAUUAACAUUUUUUAUCCAGAUGAGUCUUUGCCAUGCCUUUAACAUAACAGUACUUCAUUAGGCUGCCUUUAAAAAGUGUGGAGCAAGACUUUCACAGUAGAGCAGUGCCAGGUUUGCUUAUUUUUAGUUGCAAGAGUUGCAAAGUCUUCCCCACAGUUGUAAUACUCUGGAUGGUAUAGUAUGAAUUUCAUUGAAUGAUCAUAUUAUGAACUGCCUUUGCACCUUGGUUAGUUAAUUAAUUGGCUUGUGUUGAAAAGACCUGCACGUCUUUUUAAAUUCUCCUGCAAACAGGAUUCAUUCAGUGCGUGGUAUUUCUCAACAAAACAGUCCAGGUCUGAUAACCUUGUUGUCAAAGUGACAGCUAUUGUAUAAUUACCGUAUUAACCAUUCCCUUUGUCUGAGGCCACAAUUUUCGGACUACAAUUUUUUCUAUCAACAUGGAAAUGGCAACCUAGUAAUAUUGUUGCUUGAUCAGGAAAUCACAUUUGUAAAUUGUGUGGCAACAGGCAACGAUGGUGUGGUUGGCCACCCAGGCGCUCCAGGACAGAAGGGACAAAAAGGUGAAACAGGUAGCCGCGGUAAUCCAGGCAGCCCUGGCUCACCAGGCUUAUCUGCCACUGGAGUAGC